This 465-nucleotide ribosomal RNA is filed under the name uncultured bacterium. RNAcentral's name for it is "partial 16S ribosomal RNA". It matches the Rfam family "Bacterial small subunit ribosomal RNA", at positions 28 to 507 of the family's 1533-position model. The record is from RNAcentral.
GACGAACGCUGGCGGCGUGCUUAACACAUGCAAGUCGAACGGAAAGGCCCUGCUUGCAGGGUACUCGAGUGGCGAACGGGUGAGUAACACGUAGGUGAUCUGCCCUGCACCUCGGGGUAAGCCUGGGAAACGGAGGCUAAUACCGGAUAGGAGCAUACUUUAGCGUGAUGGUAGGAUAGUAUUUUUGGUGUAGGAUGAGGACUCGGCCUAUCAGCUUGUUGGUGGGGGAAUGGCCUACCAACCAGGCGACGGGUGGCGGGCCUGUGAGGGUGGACGGGCACACUGGGACUGUGAUACAGCCGAGUCUCCUCUAGGGGGCGGAGGUGGGGAAAAUUUCAGAAUAGGCGCAAACCUGAUGCAGCAACGACUCGGGGGGGAUGACGGCCUUCGGGUGGAAGACACCUUUCUCUAGGUACGAAGCAUGUUGUGACGGUACCUAGAUAAGAAGCACCGGCUAACUACGUG